Molecule: long non-coding RNA, 1160 nt
Organism: Cyprinus carpio (common carp)
Lineage: Eukaryota; Metazoa; Chordata; Actinopteri; Cypriniformes; Cyprinidae
Source: Ensembl
GUUUAAAUGGGUCUGAAUAUGUCACAUGUUCAGGAGUUUCGUUACAUGAUUAUGUAGUUUACACUUACAAAAAUAAAUAAAUACAUACAAACCGUAUUAAAUACAAUAUUGUACAAAUAAAAUUUUUUUUGGUUUCAUUUUUUGAUUUUAAUUUUAACUUUCUUUCCCGCCACUAAAAAUUCAAACCUCAACGGUCGCGAGGACAGUGAGGACAGCGGGUAUCACCUCAGGAUGGCGGAGAUGAUAAUUAGCGAUUAUUUCUGUAAAAAAGUUGGACAUUCUUAUUUCGAAUACACUCCUGAAUGAAAUGUUAACGUGAUUUAAGUAAUUUGGCGUCGAAAUCAGCGUUUGGGUGUAUAUGAAGGAUAUCUGAAGAUUACGAACUGCCCCAUCUUGUUGGUGAAGCGGCCCGUUGGGACAUUGAGGAAUCUGGUAAAAGUGAAGUGGCCCGCUGGGACGUUGAGGGGUCUGUUAAAAAUCCUGUGUGCAAUUGAGCGGUACAACACAAGAGAUUCAUCGGGAGACCAUGAUACAAGCCCCCGCCGCAAAACAACAUGAAGAUUAAACAACAUCAAUGAUUUUAAAAUCUCCAGCAAAACCAAAACACUUGCCCCGUGUGAGGCUCGAACUCACGACCUUCAGAUUAUGAGACUGACGCGCUGCCUACUGCGCCAACGAGGCCUGAAGAGCAAGUGUGCAAAACCUCCCCAUGUUCCUGCAGGAACGCAUCUGUGAGUCUCAGCAAACUGGUUUGCAUUUCAGGUCUGUCCUUGAUUUUGAAUAUCUGUUCUUUACUUGAUAUGUUUGGGUUAACAUCUGCUACAAUCUCAAAAGACAAGUUUGUACAAAAAUGACUGAGGAACAAUAGAGCAGUUUAAACAAUGAGAUUCAACCUCGCCCACUAGAGGGAGCCAAAGCUAACAGCCACUUUAAACACUGUAGAUUUAGGCCCAAUCCCAAUUCUAUUAUUCCCUUAUUUCACCUAUCUCUCUCUCUCGAAUUGGCAAUAUCUGAGAAAUGCGAUUGGGCCUUAAAAUGCAUAAACUACAUUUAAAACCAUACAUUUCAAAUGCAUAUAGUAAAAAAAAAAUCUUAAUUUGGACAACUUUAAAGUCGAUUUAACAUGCAUAUAAUAAAAAGAAAUUUAGAUUAAAAAUACA